AGCAGCCGCGGUAAUUCCAGCUCCAAUAGCGUAUAUUAAAGUUGUUGCAGUUAAAAAGCUCGUAGUUGAAUUUCGGGAUUAAUUUAUUGGUCGUGCUAUUGUACGUACUGGUAUUAUUGAUUCCUACCUUCUGACGAACCACGAUGUCAUUAAUUUGGUGUCAUGGGGAAUCAGGACUGUUACUUUGAAAAAAUUAGAGUGUUUAAAGCAGGCUCACGCUUGAAUACAUUAGCAUGGAAUAACGAAAUAGGACGUUUGAUUCUAUUUUGUUGGUUUCUAGGAUCGACGUAAUGAUUAAUAGGGAUAGUUGGGGGCAUUAGUAUUCAAUUGUCAGAGGUGAAAUUCUUGGAUUUAUUGAAGACUAACUACUGCGAAAGCAUUUGCCAAGGAUGUUUUCAUUAAUCAAGAACGAAAGUUAGGGGAUCGAAGACGAUCAGAUACCGUCGUAGUCUUAACCAUAAACUAUGCCGACUAGGGAUCGGAUGAUGUUAAUUUUUAAUGACUCAUUCGGCGCCUUAAC
RNAcentral lists this ribosomal RNA (520 nucleotides) under uncultured Glomus. RNAcentral describes it as "SSU rRNA". It matches the Rfam family "Eukaryotic small subunit ribosomal RNA", at positions 569 to 1092 of the family's 1831-position model. Lineage: Eukaryota; Fungi; Glomeromycota; Glomeromycetes; Glomerales; Glomeraceae. The record is from RNAcentral.